ACUGCCAUUCCACCCCCAGAUUCAAAUUUAACUGAAAUGUCACCUCCAUUACUUCGAAUAUGAUCAUCUUUGUGUCCAAAAGUAAUGUCAGCUUCAUUAUCAGUGAAUAUUUUCUUAUCUACAUCACUCACUGCUGGAUGGAAGAACCCUGAUGUGAUACAACCCCUUCACUUUACAGAUGAAGAAAAAGAGACCAAGAAGAGUAAAGAGGCAUGCAGGUCUAAUCACCCAUAGACUUCAAAGUAGGAUUUGAACCCAGGUCCUCCACAUUCAGAGCCAGUAAUAAAUAAACCAAUAAUAGCUCAAUGCCUAGAUCAAA
Monodelphis domestica (gray short-tailed opossum) is the source of this 319-nucleotide long non-coding RNA. RefSeq lists it as uncharacterized. The record is from RefSeq and is a predicted model, not a curated record. NCBI's taxonomy places the organism in Eukaryota, Metazoa, Chordata, Mammalia, Didelphimorphia, Didelphidae.